This is a long non-coding RNA of Cygnus olor (mute swan), 717 nucleotides long. RefSeq lists it as uncharacterized. Lineage: Eukaryota; Metazoa; Chordata; Aves; Anseriformes; Anatidae. The transcript is spliced from 3 exons. The record is from RefSeq and is a predicted model, not a curated record.
UCCAUCUACCAGCUUAGGAAAACCUGGACUGAAAGACUUCACCCAGCCUCAUCUCUGCAUCCUUUUCAAGUAAGCAGGUGUUGUAAGAAAUUGAGGCUCUUUAUCCUGAAGGGACAUUUUCAUAGCAACUGCUGAAUUCUAUGGAGAAGUUAUGGUCCUGGCCAGCCUGCUGCUGCUGAGCCUGCUUGACUAAAGGGUGGAUGUGGUGAUCCCACCUUUCAGCCUCAGCCACUUUGUUCAUCUGUGAAAUUAACUGCAUUUUGUCUUAAGAGUUAACCUGGCAGGAUUUUUUUCCCUAAUGUCUUCCAUUUACAGUUCAGAGAGGUAAACUCAGCUGCCCUUUGUUUACAGUGGCUUUGGAGUUUUGUGGAGUCAAAUUUACCAUUUUUAAUGGUGUAAAUUGAGCAGAGGAAAACAUCAGUUGUUCCUGUGCUCUGAAUUACAAUUACAGGAGUCCUUGCUCCUUGUGAGGAAGUACCAGGAAACCCUGAAUUGAAUAAAGCCUGAAUUGAAUGACACAACUUCUAACACUUCUUUAAUGCCAAUUUUCCUUAUACUUAGAGAAUAAAAAUGCACAUAAAAUACGUAACUGAUGUAGUUGUACAGUUGAAUUCAGUAUUCUGUUUGCAGGCUUUAAGAUUUCUAGAAAAUGGUCUGCGGUGGUUAAAUUGAAGUUGGCACAAUAUGAAGAUUUCCAGUAGGGUUUUGAAGCGAAGA